GCCGGAAGAAGUCUAGGUUGAGAUUCGAAGAAUAGUCGAUCACUGUAGAAAAUCGACUGAUAGUGAAGCUCGGAGAGUGUUUGGAGCAGUCCGGUAGGUGAAUGGAGGAGCCCAUUAUCGGAGAAGUUCGAAUGGUAUUGUGGAAGCUCGUACGAUCGAAGGAGUUCGGAAAGAUGUCACACAAGGUUGGAAGCUGGAAGAGCCCUGGAAGGG
Molecule: long non-coding RNA, 213 nt
Filed under: Elaeis guineensis (African oil palm)
Lineage: Eukaryota; Viridiplantae; Streptophyta; Magnoliopsida; Arecales; Arecaceae
Description: long non-coding RNA (EGUI_LNC047406)
Source: RNAcentral